This 356-nucleotide long non-coding RNA is filed under the name Triticum aestivum (bread wheat). Its description in RNAcentral is "long non-coding RNA (TAES_LNC004431)". The record is from RNAcentral. Lineage: Eukaryota; Viridiplantae; Streptophyta; Magnoliopsida; Poales; Poaceae.
UGCCUCUAUUUUAGUAAUUGCUAUAGUAAUUGGAUCUGGUUGAACUGAAAAUGGCGUUGGGGACAUCAAUUGGUCAUUUGGGUUCUCUGGUUGUACUACAAUUGGGACUGAGAUGGACACAAUUUUUUUGCUUGUAGGAUGGUGAGAAGGAGAAGGAAGGUGCUGCAAGUGCGAGGUGAAGGGAUCGGAUGCUGCUGAAACCCUUGGUUGUGAGUGUCUCUGUAUAGGUUUCAACUGAAUACUCUACUAGUGCUGGAUGGAUUUUCAGGUUGGAUGGAUCACUGUACUGAUGUGCAACUUCCCCUAGCUUCACAUUGCAAGCCCAAUGAUUCUUGUGCCUAGGGUACCCACAUAAC